Molecule: long non-coding RNA, 552 nt
Filed under: Marmota monax (woodchuck)
Lineage: Eukaryota; Metazoa; Chordata; Mammalia; Rodentia; Sciuridae
Source: RNAcentral
ACCUGAGGCGUGCGCCCAAGAGCUGCCAGCCCUGCCAAGGUGCUGCUGCAGCCGCCGCCGCCGCCUCCCCCUCCGCCUGCUGAUUGGCGGGGACCGCAGCUUCGGAAGCAUCGCCCAGCGAGGGAGGGCGCCGACACUCCAGCGCUCCAGCCUUGGGGAUCCUCAACUCCCCUGGGCGAGACUUCCCCUGCGAGCAGCCUCUUCUCCGCCCGCCACCACCAGGACCCUCCUCCUGAGCAAAUCAGAGGUCCGGGCCGCCGGGACAGCCACGUCUCCCUCUGGGCCUGGUCGGGGAGGCAGGGGCCAGAACCCUAGGGUCCCGCGGCAACAACCCGGCCCCCGACACUGGCUCCGGAACCACUGCGGUCGCCGCGUCCCAGCCGCCAAAACGCCUCGUAUCUUGUACCGCGGGAAAAGCGGGUCCUCGUCCAAGAUGGGCCGACAGGGUCUGGGGGGCGCUGGCGCGGCGGAGCGCUCUAUGCAGCGCUCCCAAAGCCGGAGCAGCCUCUCCGCCUCCUUCGAGGCACUGGCCGGCUACUUUCCCUGCAUGAA